Molecule: long non-coding RNA, 422 nt
Organism: Toxotes jaculatrix (banded archerfish)
Lineage: Eukaryota; Metazoa; Chordata; Actinopteri; Toxotidae
Exons: 3
Source: RefSeq, a predicted model, not a curated record
GACACGGAGAAACAUUAGCAUUCAUUUGGAGUCCCGUGCACUGAUGUUGACUUGAUGUGCCAAGUCUGAGCCCACCACGCACAACCUGGUGUUUCCACAACUGGGACAAAUGGAGAGCUGACAUUUGGACACUUCGCAGUGCGGAGAGGUUUGUGAGGAAGUAGCAAUGACACUUCAAUGCACCUCGUCCACCGGGCAACAAAAAGCUUUUUCAUCAUGCAACACUGGUGACAUUUAGAAUCCAUGUAUAUUCACGUCUGUUCUGGCAGCAUUUAGAUUCUGACCCACAAAAAUGGAAAUGUUGACAUAUCAUUUAACAUUUUCCCUGCCUCUGUUUUAAACCAAAGUGUUUGAAAGGAUGUGAAAACAGGUGAAAGGGGAAAUAAGUGAGAAUCAAAAAAAUUAACAGGCUUGGAUGCACU